Non-coding RNA from Podarcis lilfordi (Lilford's wall lizard), 69 nucleotides. Lineage: Eukaryota; Metazoa; Chordata; Lepidosauria; Squamata; Lacertidae. The record is from the annotation of a GenBank genome assembly.
GAUGGGCAAGUGGUAAGGCAUCAAUCUGGUAAAUCGAAGAUCACGGGUUCAAACCCCGCCUGUGCCUCA